This 230-nucleotide ribosomal RNA is filed under the name uncultured microorganism. Its description in RNAcentral is "partial 16S ribosomal RNA". It matches the Rfam family "Bacterial small subunit ribosomal RNA", at positions 524 to 753 of the family's 1533-position model. The record is from RNAcentral.
UACGAAGGGUGCAAGCGUUAAUCGGAAUUACUGGGCGUAAAGCGCGCGUAGGUGGCUUGAUAAGUUGGAUGUGAAAUCCCCGGGCUCAACCUGGGAACUGCAUCCAAAACUGUCUGGCUAGAGUGCGGUAGAGGGUAGUGGAAUUUCCAGUGUAGCGGUGAAAUGCGUAGAUAUUGGAAGGAACACCAGUGGCGAAGGCGACUACCUGGACUGACACUGACACUGAGGUG